Bombyx mori (domestic silkworm) is the source of this 709-nucleotide long non-coding RNA. RefSeq lists it as uncharacterized. The transcript is spliced from 2 exons. The record is from RefSeq and is a predicted model, not a curated record. NCBI's taxonomy places the organism in Eukaryota, Metazoa, Arthropoda, Insecta, Lepidoptera, Bombycidae.
UCAGUCACGUACACGCAACUUUGAUACUACACACUUAAAGAAACGGAACUCAUAGGAAUUCUUAAGAAGUUUUAGUUUUAGCUACGACAAUUAUUUUAUUUAGACUAUUCUGAAAUUGGCAAGCUUUCAAAUUCCUCGAACGGAAAAAAAAGGUAUUUCAACUUUAAAUUAGUCUACUGUAAAGUUCACGCAUUGUCGCUUUGUCACGUUUGCCUUUCAAGCGUCGAUAUACUAAUGCCGUGACAACGAAAGAAUUUCGAUAUUAACCGGCAUUCCUGCAAAACAGCUUGAUACGGCUUUCGCUUGUCAAGAUAUUCAAUCCGUUAUCUUACCUUGACCGGAAUACGCGUAAAUAGAACAAAAGACGAUAACACCGUUGCGAUAGCGUUAAACAAAGACAAAUCAAGGGGAUGUUUGUGGAUCUGAUUGCCCGUAACACUGGAAUCAGUUGACCGUACUAAUUCGGUCAGCGGAAUGCGUUCAGUGGUGCAUAAAAUAUCCCGAGUCCCGACCGGCUGGAAGCGAGGAAAGCGCACGUGAAAAUCGCGUGCCAUUACACACAUCACCUGCUUCGUGUUUCGAAGAAACACGCUCAGUUAAUAAUAUACUGGGUCGAAUGUUUUCGAAAAUAGAAGAUCGUGUUCGAAUUCCGAGUUUGUAAUUAAGUUGCCAGGUUUUAAAUUUGUCAACAAAUAAACUUGUUAAAUAC